UAAUACGGAGGGUGCAAGCAUUGAUCGGAAUUACUGGGCGUAAAGGGCGCGUAGGCGGCUAAGUAAGUCAGAUGUGAAAUUCCGGGGCUCAACCCCGGAGCUGCAUUUGAAACUGCUCAGCUAGAGUACAGUUAGGGUAAACGGAAUUCCACGUGUAGCGGUGAAAUGCGUAGAUAUGUGGAAGAACACCGGUGGUGAAGACGGUUUACUGGGCUGUUUCUGACGCUGAGGCGCGGAAGCAUGGGUAGCAAACAGGAUUAGAUACCCUGGUAGUCCAUGCCGUAAACGAUGCAUACUAGGUGUAGGAGGGCUCAACCCCCUCUGUACCGGAGCUAACGCAUUAAGUAUGCCGCCUGGGGAGUACGCUCGCAAGGGUG
Molecule: ribosomal RNA, 377 nt
Filed under: uncultured Chlamydiae bacterium
Lineage: Bacteria; Pseudomonadati; Chlamydiota; Chlamydiia
Description: bacterial SSU rRNA
Rfam family: Bacterial small subunit ribosomal RNA
Source: RNAcentral